Paramuricea clavata is the source of this 375-nucleotide non-coding RNA. The record is from the annotation of a GenBank genome assembly. Lineage: Eukaryota; Metazoa; Cnidaria; Anthozoa; Malacalcyonacea; Plexauridae.
CAAAAUAUUAAAAGCUGUUUCAUUUUUGUUUUUCAAAAUACGUUUUCUGUUUUUAUUGUAAAAUAGAGAUUUAGAAUCUAAAUUCAGUGGGAAUAUUGAGAUGACACCGGAACAAAGAGAAAUUAUACGUGUAAACGAACCCGCACUUGUAUCAGAUAUAAUACCAACAGAUAUACUAAGUUGGUUGGUGUGCUUGACAAGCGAUGAUAAGGAAGUAAUUACGGCAGACGAGAGAAAUAUCGGCCCGACAAAAGCUGCAAGGACUUUAUUGGAUCGUUUAAAAAGACGGCCUGAUGCAUUUGGACAACUAGUUUGUGCUUUAAGAGAAAAAUAUGUUAGGACAUUUGGCAGAACUGCUGGACCCAAAUAAUGAAG